UCUUCGUAGGAGACACAAACCACUAAGCAACAGGGGCUGCAAUGGAGACCCCAACUACCGCCCCCGCCCGCACGAGCAGAGGGAGCCAGAUCCCGGGGGGACCCGUUCUCUCCCCAGCAGCUGGGCGAGGAGCCUCCCUCCCCCCGCUCAGUACUGACCCUCGGCCCGGAAACCAGCGGGGGAAGCCCUGGCCCGGGAGCGGAGCAGCUGGUAGCCUCUGAGCCUUGGGGGCGACUCACACUGUACCCUUGGCCAAACCGAGCGCGGCCAGUCCCGGCCCGGCCGCUGCCAGACGCGCGGGCGGCAGCACCCAGGAAAAGUUGCUCCCAUGCAAUGGCCCAGCCCGGGCCGGGGAACGAGGGGGCGCGCGGCGGGCUAAGCCGAAUGCUAGCCUCCACUGUUCCUCUGGUGUAUAGGAAGCGCAGUCUGCAUCUGGAGAUAUGCAUGGGGAUUUUACUUUGCAAAUGGAAGAGCAUGCUGGCAGCAUAAAGGAUGAAAGUCUUUGAAGAGCUCUUUUGAAAAUGGAAAUCAGCCCAUUAACUCCUUCAGGCUACAAUCUUAUUCAUCAUUAUUUCCAAGUUUUUCUUUUUUUUUUUUCACCCAUUCACCAAGAUAAAUUCCAAUUUAAAAAAAUAGUCUCAGUAAGCUGGAUACGUAUAUAGAGAUAUGUAAUGCAUCUCUACAGUAGUUGAUACUUAAACAUUUUAUACAUCAACAAAAUACAAAAAUGCUACAGAACAAAUAUAUUAAAACCCAAAUUGCUGGUCUUAGUUCAGUCCCUGGUGAACAGAGGACUAAAGAAAAACAGUUAUUAAUAUUGGCAUCCUUAUCAUUGAAUGGCAUAGACAUUGCUUUAUUUCCUCAGUGCUGUAAGUGAUCUCUGCAGAUCAUGGGUGAGAUAAAGUCUUGGGGGAAGUGUGAGAGAAGUUUGCCUUUUUGUUGCCUAUGCAGUAAUUUUUUUGUGGACAGACUAUUUCCAUCUUCAGGUCUGCCAAACCAACACUAAAUUCACUUAAAAAUGAAUAAAUAAAUUGUAUCCACGUUAUAAGAAUAUGUUAUAGCCUACCAGUAUGUUGUCUGAAGGUGUAUCACAUUUUAAAUACAUCUGAUAAUGGAUUCCAAUAAUGUGUAGCAUCAAAACAGUAAAUACUUGUUUCACA
This is a long non-coding RNA of Chrysemys picta bellii (western painted turtle), 1160 nucleotides long. RefSeq lists it as uncharacterized. NCBI's taxonomy places the organism in Eukaryota, Metazoa, Chordata, Testudines, Emydidae. The record is from RefSeq and is a predicted model, not a curated record.